CCAACGAUUCAAGCGCCAGAACUUGCGGGCCCGUGCUGCUGCCGGCCGUCAUCGUCAUCCGCGGGAAGCGGGGAUUUCGGCAUGGCGGUGCGGCGGCGAGGCGGGCGGCAAGUUGACGAGGCGGGGGUGUUCGAAGUUUUCGGCGGGGACCCUCCGGCUGCAUCCGUUCCAGCCGUCAAGCCGGGAAGGAAAACGACCGGGCGACCGGUCCGACAAAGGUCUCGGCAGAGCGGACC
Molecule: non-coding RNA, 236 nt
Filed under: Thermobacillus composti
Lineage: Bacteria; Bacillati; Bacillota; Bacilli; Caryophanales; Paenibacillaceae
Also listed under: 1 other name
Description: GlcN6P sequence
Rfam family: glmS glucosamine-6-phosphate activated ribozyme aptamer
About the family: This entry contains a glucosamine-6-phosphate activated ribozyme that is found in the mRNA for GlmS. GlmS is an enzyme that uses fructose-6-phosphate and glutamine to generate glucosamine-6-phosphate. The ribozyme catalyses self cleavage of the glmS mRNA that is thought to regulate GlmS activity.
Source: RNAcentral